AAUUCUCAACCUUACCAGCUUUUGUUGGUCAGGAUUGGAUGUGGGGGUUUUUUGCUGGCUUCGUCAAGAGGUUUGCUCCCCUUAAAUGUAUUAGCCGGUGCCCCGCGUGGACUGUCUAUUGGUGUGAUAAUUAUCUACGCCGUGGACGUUUACUUUCAAUGGGUUGCGCUGCUUCUAACCGUCCGUUCAGUUGGACAACUAUAUGACA
RNAcentral lists this unclassified non-coding RNA (208 nucleotides) under Galerina paludosa. RNAcentral describes it as "partial internal transcribed spacer 2". The record is from RNAcentral. Lineage: Eukaryota; Fungi; Basidiomycota; Agaricomycetes; Agaricales; Galerinaceae.